Molecule: long non-coding RNA, 199 nt
Filed under: Gossypium barbadense (sea-island cotton)
Lineage: Eukaryota; Viridiplantae; Streptophyta; Magnoliopsida; Malvales; Malvaceae
Description: long non-coding RNA (GBAR_LNC012442)
Source: RNAcentral
AAAAAUUACGAAACUGAUUUUCGAGUUGUGAAACUCAAGAUAUGAUUUUUUAAGGUGACAGUGUCGCAGUUAGCCAACUGCCUGGAAAAAUUUAAAAUGGACUGCGAUAGUAAGCGAAUUUGGUCUGUGAACCCCUCGUGUCCGACUCCGGCAACAGUCUCGGGUACGGGGUGUUACAGCAGCAGUAUCAAACAACCAG